GAUGAACGCUGGCGGCGUGCCUAGUACAUGCAAGUCGAGCGAACAGAUAAGGAGCUUGCUCCUUUGACGUUAGCGGCGGACGGGUGAGUAACACGUGGGUAACCUACCUAUAAGACUGGGAUAACUUCGGGAAACCGGAGCUAAUACCGGAUAACAUUUGGAACCGCAUGGUUCUAAAGUGAAAGAUGGUUUUGCUAUCACUUAUAGAUGGACCCGCGCCGUAUUAGCUAGUUGGUAAGGUAACGGCUUACCAAGGCAACGAUACGUAGCCGACCUGAGAGGGUGAUCGGCCACACUGGAACUGAGACACGGUCCAGACUCCUACGGGAGGCAGCAGUAGGGAAUCUUCCGCAAUGGGCGAAAGCCUGACGGAGCAACGCCGCGUGAGUGAUGAAGGGUUUCGGCUCGUAAAACUCUGUUAUUAGGGAAGAACAAAUGUGUAAGUAACUGUGCACGUCUUGACGGUACCUAAUCAGAAAGCCACGGCUAACUACGUG
This 497-nucleotide ribosomal RNA is filed under the name uncultured bacterium. Its description in RNAcentral is "partial 16S ribosomal RNA". It matches the Rfam family "Bacterial small subunit ribosomal RNA", at positions 28 to 507 of the family's 1533-position model. The record is from RNAcentral.